RNAcentral lists this ribosomal RNA (423 nucleotides) under uncultured bacterium. RNAcentral describes it as "bacterial SSU rRNA". It matches the Rfam family "Bacterial small subunit ribosomal RNA", at positions 358 to 773 of the family's 1533-position model. The record is from RNAcentral.
GGAAUUUUGGACAAUGGGGGCAACCCUGAUCCAGCCAUGCCGCGUGUGUGAAGAAGGCCUUCGGGUUGUAAAGCACUUUCGGACGGAACGAAAUCGCACGGGUGAAUAUCCCGUGUGGAUGACGGUACCUGAAGAAGAAGCCCCGGCUAACUUCGUGCCAGCAGCCGCGGUAAUACGAAGGGGGCUAGCGUUGUUCGGAAUUACUGGGCGUAAAGCGCACGUAGGCGGACUUGUCAGUCAGGGGUGAAAUCCCGAGGCUUAACCUCGGAACUGCCUUUGAUACUGCAAGUCUUGAGGAUGAGAGAGGUAAGUGGAACUGCGAGUGUAGAGGUGAAAUUCGUAGAUAUUCGCAAGAACACCAGUGGCGAAGGCGGCUUACUGGCUCAUUUCUGACGCUGAGGUGCGAAAGCGUGGGGAGCAAAC